GUCCAGAUAUUUUAUAUCAUCCAAACAGACCACACUCAGGCUCAGAGCUUCUGCCUGAAACUGUGAGCAACAAAAGUUGAGUGAUAGGUAGUAAGUGACAAAACCAGCUGACCAAUCAUGCCAUAAGAAUACAAGGUCAUAGUAAAAUGGGAAGCUAGACUACAAUAGUGAGUUUAAGAAAAUAGGCAAUUACACAGUAACAGUGGGAGUUUUGCUAUUUCAGAAUCAAUCACCUGCGCUGGUCUUACUCCAGAAUGUGCAACUGAA
This 267-nucleotide unclassified non-coding RNA is filed under the name Hevea brasiliensis (rubber tree). The record is from RNAcentral. Lineage: Eukaryota; Viridiplantae; Streptophyta; Magnoliopsida; Malpighiales; Euphorbiaceae.